GGGGGAAGCUGGAAGUCUGGGGUCUGUCCUGGGGGCAGAGAACAUCCAUCUUGAGUGUGUGUGACUGGAAGGACGGGGCAGGGAGAGUCUGCACUUCCCAGCGUGGGCCAGCAGAGGGCGGCCGCUGACCGCCAGUGUCCAGGCUGAGCGGCGCUGCGCAGCUCCGCUCUCCCUCCUCUCCGAGCCGCCAGGCUGAAGGCCAGGGAGGAGGCCCACACCUGGAAAGGAAGCUUUGCUGCUCUGGCGGGCGCCUUUGCUCCGGGCUAGUCUCCUGGGCCUGGCCCAGCGUGCAUCCUGCAGUUCAGGGACCAGCUCCGCCCGACUGCCCGUGUGACCUUAGACAAGUCCCUUCCAGUCAAGGAACCUCGGGGACCCCCUCAUGGAAGAGGAGGGCCUGGACCGGGCAAAGGAAGGCCUCCCAGAGCUCUCGGGCCAUUCUCUGAGGGCCCCCCAGCUCUGAACGCCCCGUCCCGGGCCGGAUCCUCCUGUUCUCCCCCCCCCACCUCGGACAUCCCCAUUGUGAGCAUCUCCCCAGACCGGCCUCAGUGCCCUCCCUUCCGGCUGUGGGAGCUCUUCCACACCUAAAUCUGAGCUCACACGAUUCGCUCGCAGAGCCUGGGCCUCACUUCCCUUUUCUGAGUCUCCUCCAAAAGGGAAAUGACUCGCGCAUGGCUACCCAGAUGACAGCCAAUGGCAGAAUCAGGAUCUGAACCCAGACCCAGUUCUUUCUCACUGCCCCAUCUGUCCCCGGGGUUGGCUUCUAGCUCCCGGAAGCCGCAUCACCCCACUCCCUCCGAGGGAGGAAGCCCAAAGAGAAUUCAAUGGGGGGAGAGCUGGGAAGGGGAUGGAAAGAGGGAGGGGGCUGCCAGCGCGGGGACGCCGAGGGGGAAGCGAUCCCCUCGGAUGUGCCCGCCUGGGACAGAGGAACGCAGAAAGGCGGUGAGCGGCUGCAGGGAAAGGGGCUGCGGAGGACAGCAUGACAGAGCGCCGGCUGCCCGGGAGACAGUGCCCUGGACCAUGGACAGCUCUCCUUUCCUCCCCAGGCUCUGGUUAUUUUGUGAGUUCUCUGGACAUCUCUUCGCCUCUCCGGCCUUUCCCUCUGAUGACUUCUCCAAGCACUGGAUCCCACGAAUCUUUCCCCUUCUCACACUAUUUCUCGGUCUCCCUUCCUUCUCCAGAUUCCUCUCUGCUACCAGUCUUCAUCCGUCCAGGAUGCUCUCUCUGACAAUUUCCCCAGCUCAGGGGCUCUGCAGCUUUUCCAUUUCUAGAGCCAUUCCCAGGUCCUUGUUUCUCCAGCCUGCUCUUCGGACACCUCCCAAUCUCCUGGAGUCUGAGUCUCCCUCAGUAUCUGGAGGAAUCGACUUCUAUUCCACCCCAUCCCCAUAAUCUUGUGGGUUCCUUCCUCCCACCCACUUCCCCUGCUCUGAGUCCCUCAUCUCUCUUUAGUCUCCCCGAUCUAGUGUCUCUACUAUGGGUUUUUCUUCCCUUUAAUACUCUCCCCAGGCCCUAGGUCAGUCUCUGUCUGUCUCUGACUCCCCCCCCCCUUAUCGAUCUCAUUCCAAGCCAUAGAGGAGGGAAUGUUGUGCAGUGGGCAGAACCCUGCAUCUGGAACCAGAGUUAGAAGCCCCAUUUCUUCCCUUAAUGAGCUAUGAGACCUGAGACUUCAUCUUUCCUUUAUGAGCCUUAGUGCCUUGAGAGAGUGCUGGACUUGUCAUCAGGAAGCCCAGGGUUUUAGUCUUGUGUCAAAACACUAGCAGGCAACUUGGGGCAAAUCAUUUAACUGUCCCCCCACCCCCCUCCCAUCCAAUUUCAGUUUUAGUUUCUUCCUCUGUAAAAUGGAAUAAUAACGUAUCUGUAGCACUGAUCCCUGGCAUUUACUGGCUGGGUGGCCUGCCUCCCUCCCCCCAGACAGGUUGCUUAAUGUCCCAGGGCCCUGGGUACCUCUCUAAGGACAGAAGUUGCACAGAAUGCCACCUGGGAGUUUCCUCAUCUGAGAGUUCCUUAUACCAAUAAAGUCCCUAUCUCUAUCUCACAAAGUCCAUAGAUUUGAGGCUGCAAGGAACCCUGGAGGUCUUGACUGCCAGCCCCUUUACUUUAUUUAAAUAAUAAUGAAGCCAAGGCCUGUUGUGUUCAAGGUUACACAGGGAAGAAGUAGGAGAAUUGGCAAGGAGGAGGAGGAGGAGGAAGAGAAGGAAGAGGAAGAGGAGAAAGAAGAGGAGGAAGAAGAAGAGGAGUAAGAGGAAGAAGAGGAAGAGGAAGAAGAGGAAGAGGAGGAGGAAGAUGAAGAGGAGAAGGAGGAAGAGAAGGAGGUAGAUAAUGCCUGGGCUGUGAGGAAGGCACUUAUUCAUCACAAAGUAAUAAUAAGAAAUAAAUAAACUGUCAGCCUGGAGUAA
Molecule: long non-coding RNA, 2393 nt
Organism: Monodelphis domestica (gray short-tailed opossum)
Lineage: Eukaryota; Metazoa; Chordata; Mammalia; Didelphimorphia; Didelphidae
Source: RefSeq, a predicted model, not a curated record